This 1425-nucleotide ribosomal RNA is filed under the name Cephalodesmius laticollis. Its description in RNAcentral is "partial large subunit ribosomal RNA". The record is from RNAcentral. Lineage: Eukaryota; Metazoa; Arthropoda; Insecta; Coleoptera; Scarabaeidae.
GCUUGAAAUUCAAAAAAUUUGGCGGUAUUUUAGUCUUUUUAGAUGGAACCUGUUCUAUAAUUGAUAUUCCACGAUUAAUUAUACUUAAUUUUAGUUUGUAUAUCGUCGUAGUUGAAUAUCUUAAGAGAGAAUUAAUAUUCAUUAUUCAUUAUUUUAAAAAUGAAAAAAAUCAGAUCAAGAUACAGCUUAUAAUUAAGAAGAAAUGGGUUACAAUAAAAUUAUUUUUGGUUAUAAUAAUUAAAAUUAUUAUAUAAAUUGGAUUUAAAAGUAAUAUAUUUUAGUUAAGAUAUAUGAUUUAAGCUCUGAAAUAUGUACAUAUCGCCCGUCACUUUCAUUGAAAUUUAAAAUGAAAUAAGUCGUAACAUAGUAGGUGUACCGGAAGGUGUACCUAGUUUGACAAAUUAAAGCUUAUAAAAGUAUUUUAUUUACAUUAAAAAGAUAGAUUGGUAUUAUCAAUUUAAUUUGAAUUUAUAGAUUUAUUUUUAUAUGGUGAAAAGUUAAAAAAAAUAUUUUUAUAUUUAUUUAUAAAUUAAGAUAAAAUAAUUAUAAUUAUAGUUAAUUAGUAUGGUGAUAGAAUAUUGAAAUAUUUUGAAAUUUUAAAUAUUUAAAAGAAAAAUUAAUUUUUUGUACCUUGUGUAUCAGGGUUUAUUAAAUAAUAUUUAUAAAAUUAAAUUUCUCGAAUUUAAAAGAGUUAAGAAAUUAUAAAUUUUAUUGUGAAAUAAAUAUUUAAAAUAAUUUUUUAGUAAUGAAAUGUUAUUCGUUUUUAAAUUUAUCUAGUUUUUUAAGAAAUAAAUUUAAUUUAGAUUUUUAUUUUAAUUAAAAUAAGUAUUUAUUUUAAUUAAUAUAAUUUAUUAAUAUUUCAAGGGAUAAGCUUUGAGAUAAAAAUUUAAAAAUUAAUAUAAAAUUUUAUUUAUUAGUAGAAUUGAAAGUUUUUAUCUUUAAUAGUGUGUUAUUACAAAUUUGUAGUUAAUUAUUUUUUUUAUAUGAUUUUAAAUUUUUUAUUAAAAUUAUUGAUUUAAUAUGAAAAUUUAUGAAAUAAUGAUAAAAUUAGUAUAAUUUUAUGUGAUAAAAUUUUAAAAAUUUUAGGUUAAGUUAAGGAAUUCGGCAAAAUAUUUUUUCGCCUGUUUAUUAAAAACAUGUCUUUUUGAUUAUAAUUUAAAGUCUAAUCUGCCCUAUGAAUAUUUAAAUGGCCGCAGUAUUUUGACUGUGCAAAGGUAGCAUAAUAAUUAGUUUCUUAAUUGGGAACUGGAAUGAAUGAUUGGACGAGAAAAAUACUGUCUCAAUUUAAUUUUAAUUAGAAUUUUAUUUUUAAGUUAAAAAGCUUAAAUUAUUUUAUAAGACGAGAAGACCCUAUAGAGUUUUAUAUUAUUUUUUAUUUUUAAAAAUUUAAGUAUAAAGUAAUUUAAUUUUAUAAAUUAAUAUUUA